This 114-nucleotide small RNA is filed under the name Arabidopsis thaliana (thale cress). RNAcentral describes it as "ATSL168740". Lineage: Eukaryota; Viridiplantae; Streptophyta; Magnoliopsida; Brassicales; Brassicaceae. The record is from RNAcentral.
AUGUUGAAGGCACCAAAACUAAUAUACGUACACGAUAGCGUACACCAGAAACUAUACGUACAUUGCGAGAGAAUUUAAACAAUAAAACAAGGCACGUACAUAAAACAAGAAAUU